This 440-nucleotide ribosomal RNA is filed under the name uncultured bacterium. Its description in RNAcentral is "partial 16S ribosomal RNA". It matches the Rfam family "Bacterial small subunit ribosomal RNA", at positions 338 to 795 of the family's 1533-position model. The record is from RNAcentral.
CCUACGGGAGGCAGCAGUGGGGAAUAUUGCACAAUGGGGGAAACCCUGAUGCAGCGACGCCGCGUGAGUGAAGAAGUAAUUCGUUAUGUAAAGCUCUAUCAGCAGGGAAGAAAAUGACGGUACCUGAGUAAGAAGCCCCGGCUAACUACGUGCCAGCAGCCGCGGUAUAACGUAGGGGGCAAGCGUUAUCCGGAUUUACUGGGGGGAAAGGGAGCGUAGACGGCAGUGCAAGUCUGGAGUGAAAGGCGGGGGCUCAACCCCCGGACUGCUCCGGAAACUGUACGGCUGGAGUGCAGGAGAGGUAAGUGGAAUUCCUAGUGUAGCGGUGAAAUGCGUAGAUAUUAGGAGGAACACCAGUGGCGAAGGCGGCUUACUGGACUGUAACUGACGUUGAGGCUCGAAAGCGUGGGGAGCAAACAGGAUUAGAUACCCUUGUAGUC